RNAcentral lists this ribosomal RNA (1468 nucleotides) under uncultured Bordetella sp. RNAcentral describes it as "partial 16S-23S ribosomal RNA intergenic spacer". It matches the Rfam family "Bacterial small subunit ribosomal RNA". Lineage: Bacteria; Pseudomonadati; Pseudomonadota; Betaproteobacteria; Burkholderiales; Alcaligenaceae. The record is from RNAcentral.
AGUUCGAUCAUGGCUCAGAUUGAACGCUGGCGGGAUGCUUUACACAUGCAAGUCGAACGGCAGCACGGACUUCGGUCUGGUGGCGAGUGGCGAACGGGUGAGUAAUGUAUCGGAACGUGCCUAGUAAGUGGGGAUAACUACGCGAAAGCGUAGCUAAUACCGCAUACUUCGGGGGAAAGCGGGGACCUUCGCCUCGCACUAUUAGAGCGGCCGAUAUCGGAUUAGCUAGUUGUGGGGUAACGGCUCACUGGCUAGCGACGAUCCGUAGCUGGUUUGAGAGGACGAACAGCCACACCGGGACUGGAGACACGGCCCAGACUCCCACGGGAGGCAGCAGUGGGGAAUUUUGGACAAUGGGGGAAACCCUGAUCCAGCCAUCCCGCGUGUGCGAUGAAGGCCUUCGGGUUGUAAAGCAAUUUUUGGCAGGAAAGAAACGGCACGGGAUAAUACCCUGCGCAACUGACGGUACCUGCAGAAUAAGCACCGGUUAACUACGUGCCAGCAGCCGCGGUAAUACGUAGGGUGCGUUAAUCGGAAUUACUGGGCGUAAAGCGUGCGCAGGCGGUUCGGAAAGAAAGAUGUGAAAUCCCAGAGCUUAACUUUAACUGCAUUUUUAACUACCGAGCUUCAGAGUGUGUCAGAGGGAGGUGGAAUUCCUAGCAGUGAAAUUGCGACAUGCGGAGAACACCGAUGGCGAAGGCAGCCUCCUGGGAUAACACUGACGCUCAUGCACGAAAGCGUGGGGAGCAAACAGGAUUAGAUACCCUGGUAGUCCACGCCCUAAACGAUGUCAACUAAGUUGGGGCCUCUCUGGCCUUGGUAGCGCAGCUAACGCGUGAAGUUGACCGCCUGGGGAGUACGGUCGCAAGAUUAAAACUCAAAGGAAUUGACGGGGACCCGCACAAGCGGUGGAUGAUGUGGAUUAAUCUGAUGCAACGCGAAAACCUUUACCUACCCUUGACAUGUCUGGAAUCCCGAAGAGAUUUGGGAGUGCUCGCAAGAGAACCGAACACAGGUGCUGCAUGGCUGUCGUCAGCUCGUGUCGUGAGAUGUUGGGUUAAGUCCCGCAACGAGCGCAACCCUUGUCAUUAGUUGCUACGAAAGGGCACUCUAAUGAGACUGCCGGUGACAAACCGGAGGAAGGUGGGGAUGACGUCAAGUCCUCAUGGCCCUUAUGGGUAGGGCUUCACACGUCAUACAAUGGUCGGGACAGAGGGUCGCCAACCCGCGAGGGGAGCCAAUCCCAGAAACCCGAUCGUAGUCCGGAUCGCAGUCUGCAACUCGACUGCGUGAAGUCGGAAUCGCUAGUAAUCGCGGAUCAGCAUGUCGCGGUGAAUACGUUCCCGGGUCUUGUACACACCGCCCGUCACACCAUGGGAGUGGGUUUACCAGAAGUAGUUAGCCUAACCGUAAGGAGGGCGAUUACCACGGUAGGAUUCAUGACUGGGGUGAAGUCGGAAUAAGGUAG